GACGAACGCUGGCGGCGUGCUUAACACAUGCAAGUCGAACGGGUCUGCCCUGUUUUUUGCGGGGUGGGUCAGUGGCGAACGGGUGAGUGACACGUGAGUAACCUGCCCCUCACUUCUGGAUAACCGCUUGAAAGGGUGGCUAAUACGGGGUGUUCUGGCUGUGCCGCAUGGUGUGGCUGGGAAAGAUUCACUUUUGUGGUGUUUUGGUGGGGGAUGGGCUCGCGGCCUAUCAGCUUGUUGGUGGGGUGAUGGCCUGCCAAGGCUUUGACGGGUAGCCGGCCUGAGAGGGUGGGCGGUCACACUGGGACUGAGAUACGGCCCAGACUCCUGCGGGAGGCAGCAGUGGGGGGUAUUGCACAAUGGGCGGAAGCCUGAUGCAGCGACGUCGCGUGAGGGAUGGAGGCCUUCGGGUUGUGAACCUCUUUCGCCGGUGAAGAAGGUCCUGCUCUUUGUGGUGGGGUUGACGGUAGCCGGGUUAUGAAGCGCCGGCUAACUACGUG
This 500-nucleotide ribosomal RNA is filed under the name uncultured bacterium. RNAcentral describes it as "partial 16S ribosomal RNA". It matches the Rfam family "Bacterial small subunit ribosomal RNA", at positions 28 to 507 of the family's 1533-position model. The record is from RNAcentral.